UAGGGAAUAUUGGACAAUGGGUGAGAGCCUGAUCCAGCCAUGCCGCGUGCAGGAAGAAGGCGUUAUGCGUUGUAAACUGCUUUUUGCCAGGGGAUAAAAAGACCGUGCGCGGUUAAUUGAAGGUACCUGGUGAAUAAGCCACGGCUAACUACGUGCCAGCAGCCGCGGUAAUACGUGGGUGGCAAGCGUUGUCCGGAUUUAUUGGGUUUAAAGGGUGCGUAGGUGGCCCUGUAAGUCAGUGGUGAAAUAUCUCAGCUUAACUGAGAGGGUGCCAUUGAUACUGCAGGGCUUGAGUACAGAUGAGGUAGGCGGAAUUGACGGUGUAGCGGUGAAAUGCAUAGAUAUCGUCAAGAACACCGAUAGCGAAGGCAGCUUACCAAGCUGUAACUGACACUGAGGCACGAAAGUGUGGGGAUCAAACAGGAUUAGAUACCCACGUAGUCCCUGAGCGGGCUGGCAAGGCGCAU
Molecule: ribosomal RNA, 467 nt
Filed under: uncultured bacterium
Lineage: Bacteria
Description: bacterial SSU rRNA
Rfam family: Bacterial small subunit ribosomal RNA
Source: RNAcentral